UCAAAUUUACAUAUUUCCACGUAGUGUAUUUUUUUUUUUUUGCGCAUUCUGGUUGUGACGUGACGAAUGGGGGUGUUUGAUUCAGAGGGUGUCCAACCUUUAAAAAAGGCAUUUUCAAGGUGAAUUGCCAUUACUGCCCAGCUAGUGGCCCCAUCUGUCAUUCUCUUUGUCUCUAUUUUUUUCUUCUUGGGAGGAGUCUCAUCCAGCCGCUGUUC
Molecule: long non-coding RNA, 215 nt
Filed under: Setaria italica (foxtail millet)
Lineage: Eukaryota; Viridiplantae; Streptophyta; Magnoliopsida; Poales; Poaceae
Description: long non-coding RNA (SITA_LNC001857)
Source: RNAcentral